CCCUUCGGGGUUGUGGCGGACGGGUGAGUAACACGUGGGAACGUGCCUUUAGGUUCGGAAUAGCUCCUGGAAACGGGUGGUAAUGCCGAAUGUGCCCUUCGGGGGAAAGAUUUAUCGCCUUUAGAGCGGCCCGCGUCUGAUUAGCUAGUUGGUGGGGUAAUGGCCCACCAAGGCUACGAUCAGUAGCUGGUCUGAGAGGAUGACCAGCCACAUUGGGACUGAGACGACGGCCCAAACUCCUACGGGAGGCAGCAGUGGGGAAUCUUGCGCAAUGGGCGAAAGCCUGACGCAGCCAUGCCGCGUGUAUGAUGAAGGUCUUAGGAUUGUAAAAUACUUUCACCGGUGAAGAUAAUGACUGUAGCCGGAGAAGAAGCCCCGGCUAACUUCGUGCCAGCAGCCGCGGUAAUACGAAGGGGGCUAGCGUUGCUCGGAAUUACUGGGCGUAAAGGGAGCGUAGGCGGACAUUUAAGUCAGAGGUGAAAUCCCGGAGCUUAACUUCGGAACUGCCUUUGAUACUGGGUGUCUUGAGUGUGAGAGAGGUAUGUGGAACUCCGAGUGUAGAGGUGAAAUUCGUAGAUA
RNAcentral lists this ribosomal RNA (579 nucleotides) under uncultured Brevundimonas sp. Its description in RNAcentral is "bacterial SSU rRNA". It matches the Rfam family "Bacterial small subunit ribosomal RNA", at positions 83 to 696 of the family's 1533-position model. The record is from RNAcentral. Lineage: Bacteria; Pseudomonadati; Pseudomonadota; Alphaproteobacteria; Caulobacterales; Caulobacteraceae.